UUCCUUGCUAUGGCCCUGUUCAUCAGAACACGGCCUAUGUAAUCGAAAAGGAUUAGCAGCGGCUAUAUACCAAUUUCCAUGUAGUGUCCCAGUUUGCCACGUCCUGGUAUCUAUUCUUUAGUGUCAUAAAAUUGUCAUCAAAGUCUUUAAAAAAAAAAUAUUGGGUAGGCUGUGUCAUCAAAGUCAUUGUCAUAUGUUUUUUUUUUUUUUUUUGAUAAAGAGUCGUAUGUUUUCUUUGUCAACACCAUUCCUUGUCUUCUAUAGUUUGUAAUGAGAACAUUUCGGAACCGAACAUUUCCUAUAUUUCGAAAAACUAGAAAAUUAAAUGGUGUUGGUAGAAAACAG
This 345-nucleotide long non-coding RNA is filed under the name Arabidopsis lyrata. Its description in RNAcentral is "long non-coding RNA (ALYR_LNC002143)". Lineage: Eukaryota; Viridiplantae; Streptophyta; Magnoliopsida; Brassicales; Brassicaceae. The record is from RNAcentral.